AUACAUGCAGUCGAGCGAACGGACGAGAAGCUUGCUUCUCUGAUGUUAGCGGCGGACGGGUGAGUAACACGUGGAUAACCUACCUAUAAGACUGGGAUAACUUCGGGAAACCGGAGCUAAUACCGGAUAAUAUUUUGAACCGCAUGGUUCAAAAGUGAAAGACGGUCUUGCUGUCACUUAUAGAUGGAUCCGCGCUGCAUUAGCUAGUUGGUAAGGUAACGGCUUACCAAGGCAACGAUGCAUAGCCGACCUGAGAGGGUGAUCGGCCACACUGGAACUGAGACACGGUCCAGACUCCUACGGGAGGCAGCAGUAGGGAAUCUUCCGCAAUGGGCGAAAGCCUGACGGAGCAACGCCGCGUGAGUGAUGAAGGUCUUCGGAUCGUAAAACUCUGUUAUUAGGGAAGAACAUAUGUGUAAGUAACUGUGCACAUCUUGACGGUACCUAAUCAGAAAGCCACGGCUAACUACGUGCCAGCAGCCGCGGUAAUACGUAGGUGGCAAGCGUUAUCCGGAAUUAUUGGGCGUAAAGCGCGCGUAGGCGGUUUUUUAAGUCUGAUGUGAAAGCCCACGGCUCAACCGUGGAGGGUCAUUGGAAACUGGAAAACUUGAGUGCAGAAGAGGAAAGUGGAAUUCCAUGUGUAGCGGUGAAAUGCGCAGAGAUAUGGAGGAACACCAGUGGCGAAGGCGACUUUCUGGUCUGUAACUGACGCUGAUGUGCGAAAGCGUGGGGAUCAAACAGGAUUAGAUACCCUGGUAGUCCACGCCGUAAACGAUGAGUGCUAAGUGUUAGGGGUUUCCGCCCCUUAGUGCUGCAGCU
This 819-nucleotide ribosomal RNA is filed under the name Staphylococcus aureus. RNAcentral describes it as "bacterial SSU rRNA". It matches the Rfam family "Bacterial small subunit ribosomal RNA", at positions 51 to 853 of the family's 1533-position model. Lineage: Bacteria; Bacillati; Bacillota; Bacilli; Caryophanales; Staphylococcaceae. The record is from RNAcentral.